Molecule: ribosomal RNA, 186 nt
Filed under: Salmonella enterica
Lineage: Bacteria; Pseudomonadati; Pseudomonadota; Gammaproteobacteria; Enterobacterales; Enterobacteriaceae
Description: partial 23S ribosomal RNA
Source: RNAcentral
AAAUGCAAAUGCGGAAGAGAUAAGUGCUGAAAGCAUCUAAGCACGAAACUUGCCCCGAGAUGAGUUCUCCCUGAGACUUWRAGUCUCCUGAAGGAACGUUGAAGACGACGACGUUGAUAGGCCGGGUGUGUAAGCGCAGCGAUGCGUUGAGCUAACCGGUACUAAUGAACCGUGAGGCUUAACCUU